Molecule: ribosomal RNA, 1655 nt
Filed under: Salmonella enterica
Lineage: Bacteria; Pseudomonadati; Pseudomonadota; Gammaproteobacteria; Enterobacterales; Enterobacteriaceae
Also listed under: 1 other name
Description: partial 23S ribosomal RNA
Rfam family: Bacterial large subunit ribosomal RNA
Source: RNAcentral
AGACCCGAAACCCGGUGAUCUAGCCAUGGGCAGGUUGAAGGUUGGGUAACACUAACUGGAGGACCGAACCGACUAAUGUUGAAAAAUUAGCGGAUGACCUGUGGCUGGGGGUGAAAGGCCAAUCAAACCGGGAGAUAGCUGGUUCUCCCCGAAAGCUAUUUAGGUAGCGCCUCGUGAAUUCAUCUCCGGGGGUAGAGCACUGUUUCGGCUAGGGGGCCAUCCCGGCUUACCAACCCGAUGCAAACUGCGAAUACCGGAGAAUGUUAUCACGGGAGACACACGGCGGGUGCUAACGUCCGUCGUGAAGAGGGAAACAACCCAGACCGCCAGCUAAGGUCCCAAAGUCAUGGUUAAGUGGGAAACGAUGUGGGAAGGCCCAGACAGCCAGGAUGUUGGCUUAGAAGCAGCCAUCAUUUAAAGAAAGCGUAAUAGCUCACUGGUCGAGUCGGCCUGCGCGGAAGAUGUAACGGGGCUAAACCAUGCACCGAAGCUGCGGCAGCGACACUGUGUGUUGUUGGGUAGGGGAGCGUUCUGUAAGCCUGUGAAGGUGUGUCGUGAGGCAUGCUGGAGGUAUCAGAAGUGCGAAUGCUGACAUAAGUAACGAUAAAGCGGGUGAAAAGCCCGCUCGCCGGAAGACCAAGGGUUCCUGUCCAACGUUAAUCGGGGCAGGGUGAGUCGACCCCUAAGGCGAGGCCGAAAGGCGUAGUCGAUGGGAAACGGGUUAAUAUUCCCGUACUUGGUGUUACUGCGAAGGGGGGACGGAGAAGGCUAUGUUGGCCGGGCGACGGUUGUCCCGGUUUAAGCGUGUAGGUGUGUGUUCCAGGUAAAUCCGGUUCACUUUAACACUGAGGCGUGACGACGAGGCACUACGGUGCUGAAGCAACAAAUGCCCUGCUUCCAGGAAAAGCCUCUAAGCAUCAGGUAACAUCAAAUCGUACCCCAAACCGACACAGGUGGUCAGGUAGAGAAUACCAAGGCGCUUGAGAGAACUCGGGUGAAGGAACUAGGCAAAAUGGUGCCGUAACUUCGGGAGAAGGCACGCUGACACGUAGGUGAAGUGAUUUACUCAUGGAGCUGAAGUCAGUCGAAGAUACCAGCUGGCUGCAACUGUUUAUUAAAAACACAGCACUGUGCAAACACGAAAGUGGACGUAUACGGUGUGACGCCUGCCCGGUGCCGGAAGGUUAAUUGAUGGGGUCAGCGCAAGCGAAGCUCCUGAUCGAAGCCCCGGUAAACGGCGGCCGUAACUAUAACGGUCCUAAGGUAGCGAAAUUCCUUGUCGGGUAAGUUCCGACCUGCACGAAUGGCGUAAUGAUGGCCAGGCUGUCUCCACCCGAGACUCAGUGAAAUUGAACUCGCUGUGAAGAUGCAGUGUACCCGCGGCAAGACGGAAAGACCCCGUGAACCUUUACUAUAGCUUGACACUGAACAUUGAGCCUUGAUGUGUAGGAUAGGUGGGAGGCUUUGAAGUGUGGACGCCAGUCUGCAUGGAGCCGACCUUGAAAUACCACCCUUUAAUGUUUGAUGUUCUAACGUGGACCCGUUACCCGGGUUGCGGACAGUGUCUGGUGGGUAGUUUGACUGGGGCGGUCUCCUCCUAAAGAGUAACGGAGGAGCACGAAGGUUGGCUAAUCCUGGUCGGACAUCAGGAGGUU